UAACCUGCCCAAGAGAUCGGGAUAACACCUGGAAACAGAUGCUAAUACCGGAUAACAACAGAUGAUGCCUAUCAACUGUUUAAAAGAUGGUUCUGCUAUCACUCUUGGAUGGACCUGCGGUGCAUUAGCUAGUUGGUAGGGUAACGGCCUACCAAGGCGAUGAUGCAUAGCCGAGUUGAGAGACUGAUCGGCCACAUUGGGACUGAGACACGGCCCAAACUCCUACCGGGAGGCAGCAGGA
RNAcentral lists this ribosomal RNA (241 nucleotides) under uncultured Lactobacillus sp. RNAcentral's name for it is "partial 16S ribosomal RNA". It matches the Rfam family "Bacterial small subunit ribosomal RNA", at positions 122 to 354 of the family's 1533-position model. The record is from RNAcentral. Lineage: Bacteria; Bacillati; Bacillota; Bacilli; Lactobacillales; Lactobacillaceae.